CCUACGGGAGGCAGCAGUGAGGAAUAUUGGUCAAUGGGCGGGAGCCUGAACCAGCCAAGUCGCGUGAGGGAAGACGGUCCUAUGGAUUGUAAACCUCUUUAGGCGGGGAGCAAUGCCGGGCACGUGUGCCCGGAGGGAGAGUACCCGCAGAAUAAGCAUCGGCUAACUCCGUGCCAGCAGCCGCGGUAAUACGGAGGAUGCGAGCGUUAUCCGGAUUUAUUGGGUUUAAAGGGAGCGUAGAUGGGUUGUUAAGUCAGUUGUGAAAUUUUGCGGCUCAACCGUAAAAUUGCAAUUGAUACUGGCAGCCUUGAGUACAGUUGAGGUAGGCGGAAUUCGUGGUGUAGCGGUGAAAUGCUUAGAUAUCACGAAGAACUCCGAUUGCGAAGGCAGCUUACUAAACUGCCACUGACAUUGAUGCUCGAAAGUGUGGGUAUCAAACAGGAUUAGAUACCCGUGUAGUC
RNAcentral lists this ribosomal RNA (461 nucleotides) under uncultured bacterium. RNAcentral's name for it is "partial 16S ribosomal RNA". It matches the Rfam family "Bacterial small subunit ribosomal RNA", at positions 338 to 795 of the family's 1533-position model. The record is from RNAcentral.